AACCACAACCAAGGGAUCGGGCGUGGCGGAAUCAACGGGUAACGAAGAUCCUUCAGAGCAGGAUUGUAGUGUGGCCCGGUG
This 81-nucleotide microRNA precursor is filed under the name Vicugna pacos (alpaca). RNAcentral's name for it is "miRNA (ENSVPAG00000017898.1)". Lineage: Eukaryota; Metazoa; Chordata; Mammalia; Artiodactyla; Camelidae. The record is from RNAcentral.